CACCCGACCCCCAUCUCCGAGCGCCGGCUCUCUCGGCGAGGAUGGGAGGGGAGAGGAAAGAGACGAAAAAAAAAAAAGGGAGGGGGAAGGGUCGGAAAAAAAAAGGGGGGGAGGGAAGGGGGGGAGGGCAGCGCUGCUCACACCCCCACGACGCGCACACUCAGCGGCAGCAGCUACGCUCCCUCUACUUCUCCCCCGUCGCCCGCCGCGCCCUUACUUAUAGCCUCCCUUGCCCCGCCCCCAGCCUCGCCCCCAACACCACACCCCGCGCGGCCCAAGCCCCACCCAGCCCCGCGCGGCCCCCGGCUGGCCCCGCCCCGGCUGCCGGGGCUCCGCUCCCCGCCUGCGGCCUCCUGUUCCCCCCGCCGCGGCGCGCGGGGCCGCUCUGACGUCAGCGCGCUGCUCGCCCCUCAGCCCCGUUGCGUCACUGCCGAUGUCAAACCGUGCCCUUGUGCCCCUCAGUCCCGCGUGGAAGGGAAGGGGGGAGCGUUAAACUACAUCUCCCAUGACCACCGUGGCCCGCGGGGGCCUCGGCAGCGGCGAUGGCGAGGCUGGCAGGGACCGCCUACGCGGCUGGCACCCCUCGGGCUCUGGGGUGAUGCACGGACUCCUUCCAGAGGGGGCACGGGACGACCCCAGCCCCACAUCACCACCAGGCCCCACCUUCUCCGCGCCCGGCGGCUAAAAAUACACCCCACAGAUUUGCACCAGAGGCACAAGGAGAAUUUGACACACUUGCUGCAAAGAGGUUUUCAUGCCCCGAACGUGAAACCACCAGGACUGGCUGAAGGACACUCUGUGCCCAGGGACUGGGGAGCUGAGACCUGAAAUGGAAUUUCACUAGAGAUCCUACCAACAUUAAAUACUCUGUGAAGCCUCAGGAGCUCCUGAGAUGAUGGAUGACAUCAAGAGCCAAAAGAACAUGUACAAAGCAUCUGCAGAAAGAGAUCCUUAAUGACUGUGUGAAGUCUGUUGAUUUGUUGCCAG
Molecule: long non-coding RNA, 987 nt
Filed under: Parus major (Great Tit)
Lineage: Eukaryota; Metazoa; Chordata; Aves; Passeriformes; Paridae
Description: lncRNA (ENSPMJG00000018103.1)
Source: RNAcentral